UACGGGGGGGGCAAGCGUUGUUCGGAAUUACUGGGCGUAAAGGGCUCGUAGGCGGCCAACUAAGUCAGGGGUGAAAUCCCGGGGCUCAACCCCGGAACUGCCUUUGAUACUGGGUAUCUCGAGUCCGGAAGAGGUGAGUGGAAUUCCGAGUGUAGAGGUGAAAUUCGUAGAUAUUCGGAGGAACACCAGUGGCGAAGGCGGCUCACUGGUCCGGUACUGACGCUGAGGUGCGAAAGCGUGGGGAGCAAACAGG
Molecule: ribosomal RNA, 253 nt
Filed under: uncultured bacterium
Lineage: Bacteria
Description: partial 16S ribosomal RNA
Rfam family: Bacterial small subunit ribosomal RNA
Source: RNAcentral